Molecule: ribosomal RNA, 733 nt
Filed under: Lactococcus lactis
Lineage: Bacteria; Bacillati; Bacillota; Bacilli; Lactobacillales; Streptococcaceae
Description: bacterial SSU rRNA
Rfam family: Bacterial small subunit ribosomal RNA
Source: RNAcentral
UUGAGCGGGGGACAACAUUUGGAAACGAAUGCUAAUACCGCAUAACAACUUUAAACACAAGUUUUAAGUUUGAAAGAUGCAAUUGCAUCACUCAAAGAUGAUCCCGCGUUGUAUUAGCUAGUUGGUGAGGUAAAGGCUCACCAAGGCGAUGAUACAUAGCCGACCUGAGAGGGUGAUCGGCCACAUUGGGACUGAGACACGGCCCAAACUCCUACGGGAGGCAGCAGUAGGGAAUCUUCGGCAAUGGACGAAAGUCUGACCGAGCAACGCCGCGUGAGUGAAGAAGGUUUUCGGAUCGUAAAACUCUGUUGGUAGAGAAGAACGUUGGUGAGAGUGGAAGGCUCAUCAAGUGACGGUAACUACCCAGAAAGGGACGGCUAACUACGUGCCAGCAGCCGCGGUAAUACGUAGGUCCCGAGCGUUGUCCGGAUUUAUUGGGCGUAAAGCGAGCGCAGGUGGUUUAUUAAGUCUGGUGUAAAAGGCAGUGGCUCAACCAUUGUAUGCAUUGGAAACUGGUAGACUUGAGUGCAGGAGAGGAGAGUGGAAUUCCAUGUGUAGCGGUGAAAUGCGUAGAUAUAUGGAGGAACACCGGUGGCGAAAGCGGCUCUCUGGCCUGUAACUGACACUGAGGCUCGAAAGCGUGGGGAGCAAACAGGAUUAGAUACCCUGGUAGUCCACGCCGUAAACGAUGAGUGCUAGAUGUAGGGAGCUAUAAGUUCUCUGUAUCGCAGCU